RNAcentral lists this ribosomal RNA (506 nucleotides) under uncultured bacterium. RNAcentral's name for it is "partial 16S ribosomal RNA". It matches the Rfam family "Bacterial small subunit ribosomal RNA", at positions 29 to 523 of the family's 1533-position model. The record is from RNAcentral.
AGUGAACGCUGGCGGUAGGCCUAACACAUGCAAGUCGAACGGCAGCACAGAGGAGCUUGCUCCUUGGGUGGCGAGUGGCGGACGGGUGAGGAAUACAUCGGAAUCUACUCUGUCGUGGGGGAUAACGUAGGGAAACUUACGCUAAUACCGCAUACGACCUACGGGUGAAAGCAGGGGAUCUUCGGACCUUGCGCGAUUGAAUGAGCCGAUGUCGGAUUAGCUAGUUGGCGGGGUAAAGGCACACCAAGGCGACGAUCCGUAGCUGUUCUGCGAGGAUGAGCAGCCACACUGGAACUGGGGCACGGUCCAGACUCCUACGGGAGGCAGCAGUGGGGAAUAUUGGACAAUGGGCGCAAGCCUGAUCCAGCCAUACCGCGUGGGUGAAGAAGGCCUUCGGGUUGUAAAGCCCUUUUGUUGGUAAAGAAAUCCAUCUGGUUAAUACCCGGGUGGGAUGACGGUACCCAAAGAAUAAGCACCGGCUAACUUUGUGCCAGCCGCCGCCGUAA